CUCUCCCACGUUUGCCAAACGUCUCUUAACUCUCUCUCCAGGUACUCUCUCAAUGUGUUCUAGUUGAGUGAGAGAGAUGAGAUGGGUGUUCACACUCUCUCUCUGAAAAUCAUCCUUAUCCCUACAUUCAUAAGUCCUUCACCGUUUUCUCUCUCUAAUCUCUCUCUCAUGGCGUCGACUCUCCGCCAACAUUCCCUUCUCCAUCCCCUCGCUCCGAUCCAAACCCCCACAAAUUCGCCUUCCAAAACCCUAAAAUCUCCUCCCGAUUGAGACGAUCAUCUUUGCAUUCCUACUCUCUCUCAUCAAGCCCUCACUGUCUCUCUAGGGUUUCCGAUUCUGCACUCUGUCCGUGUUCACUGCUCGAUGGUCCCGUUGUUUCGGUGCCGAACAGACAAUCUUCUGCAGGCUCUUCGCUACGCUGCUCAAUUUGGCUCCCUUCGCUACCAACGGUGCUCUCGCAAGGUGAACAAGCUUCAUGAAGUGUGUUGAAGAUUUCAGAGCUAGGGUUUAUCUGCAACUUAACAAGAUUUUUCAAUGCUCAGUGGCUUUGAUUUCGCAAUCUCAAAGAGUGGUCUUCUUUUACUGCGAGUAGUAACACAAGUGAUGAAGACUAAAGAAUUCCUCAACUGAGCAAGUGUGAUUCUUGGGAAGCUGACAUGGGCAUGGAGAUAGAAGGUGAUGGGGGUGCCUGUAUAUCGUCAACCUGAUCUGGUCACAGAUCUCGUC
Molecule: non-coding RNA, 726 nt
Organism: Camellia sinensis
Lineage: Eukaryota; Viridiplantae; Streptophyta; Magnoliopsida; Ericales; Theaceae
Source: RefSeq, a predicted model, not a curated record